CCUACGGGUGGCACCAGUGGGGAAUAUUGCACAAUGGGCGCAAGCCUGAUGCAGCCAUGCCGCGUGUAUGAAGAAGGCCUUCGGGUUGUAAAGCACUUUCAGCGGGGAGGAAGGCGGUGAGGUUAAUAACCUCAUCGAUUGACGUUACCCGCAGAAGAAGCACCGGCUAACUCCGUGCCAGCAGCCGCGGUAAUACGGAGGGUGCAAGCGUUAAUCGGAAUUACUGGGCGUAAAGCGCACGCAGGCGGUCUGUCAAGUCGGAUGUGAAAUCCCCGGGCUCAACCUGGGAACUGCAUUCGAAACUGGCAGGCUAGAGUCUUGUAGAGGGGGGUAGAAUUCCAGGUGUAGCGGUGAAAUGCGUAGAGAUCUGGAGGAAUACCGGUGGCGAAGGCGGCUCUCUGGUCUGUAACUGACGCUGAGGCGCGAAAGCGUGGGGAGCAAACAGGAUUAGAUACCCCCGUAGUC
This 465-nucleotide ribosomal RNA is filed under the name uncultured bacterium. Its description in RNAcentral is "bacterial SSU rRNA". It matches the Rfam family "Bacterial small subunit ribosomal RNA", at positions 338 to 795 of the family's 1533-position model. The record is from RNAcentral.